GCAGGUGUUUGACUUCGAAUUAUCAGAACAGGAUAUGAAUGACAUCCUCGGCCUAGACAGGAACUUCCGAAUGUGCAGCUUACCCAUAGCUAAAAACCACAAGGACUAUCCUUUCAACAUAGACUACUGAGCAUGGCUCCCCCCUUCCUCCUCCUGCUGCCGGACAGAUGCCCCAGGUCUGACCCGCCCCGCCUCUGCACAGGGUGGCCAGGGAGGGGAGGGACGGGGUUUGAUUUGGGUGGAUUCCUGCCUGGAACACAAGCUGAGCUCCCUGAGAAAUUCACACAGUUCAGCCGGUCUCAGUGAUGGAGACAAACACCAUGGGAGUGGUGAUCACUCUCCAUGGAGAACCCUCAGUCCUAAGGAUCCUUUGAGCACAGUGUGAUGGGAUUUUUACAAGAUAAGCUAUGUGGCCUGUACUCUCGAAAUAAAGAUUGUAUUAUGGAAAUACUUAAAUACAA
This is a non-coding RNA of Leptonychotes weddellii (Weddell seal), 461 nucleotides long. NCBI's taxonomy places the organism in Eukaryota, Metazoa, Chordata, Mammalia, Carnivora, Phocidae. The record is from RefSeq and is a predicted model, not a curated record.